UACUGUUGAUGAUGUUAAUUGAAAUACAAUGGGAAUCUCUCUGAGAUGGUAUGAAAGACAUUUGAACGUUACUGAACCAGUA
This is a small nucleolar RNA of Hypanus sabinus (Atlantic stingray), 82 nucleotides long. RefSeq annotates it as small nucleolar RNA SNORD79. The transcript has a single exon. The record is from RefSeq and is a predicted model, not a curated record. NCBI's taxonomy places the organism in Eukaryota, Metazoa, Chordata, Chondrichthyes, Myliobatiformes, Dasyatidae.